Molecule: ribosomal RNA, 840 nt
Filed under: uncultured bacterium
Lineage: Bacteria
Description: bacterial SSU rRNA
Rfam family: Bacterial small subunit ribosomal RNA
Source: RNAcentral
UUGCCAAAGGAGCAAUCCGCUGAAAGAUGGGCUCGCGGCCGAUUAGGUAGUUGGUGAGGUAACGGCCCACCAAGCCGACGAUCGGUAGCCGGACUGAGAGGUUGAUCGGCCACAUUGGGGACUGAGACACGGCCCAGACUCCUACGGGAGGCAGCAGUGGGGGAUAUUGCACAAUGGAGGGAACUCUGAUGCAGCGACGCCGCGUGAGGGAAGACGGUCUUCGGAUUGUAAACCUCUGUCUUCGGGGACGAUAAUGACGGUACCCGAGGAGGAAGCCACGGCUAACUACGUGCCAGCAGCCGCGGUAAUACGUAGGUGGCAAGCGUUGUCCGGAAUUACUGGGUGUAAAGGGAGCGUAGGCGGGGUGCCAAGUUGAAUGUGAAGUCGGCCGGCUUAACUGGUCGCUGCGUUCAAAACUGGCGCUCUUGAGUGGAGCAGAGGCAGGCGGAAUUCCUAGUGUAGCGGUGAAAUGCGUAGAUAUUAGGAGGAACACCAGUGGCGAAGGCGGCCUGCUGGGCUUUAACUGACGCUGAGGCUCGAAAGCGUGGGUAGCAAACAGGAUUAGAUACCCUGGUAGUCCACGCCGUAAACGAUGAUUACUAGGUGUGGGUGGACUGACCCCAUCCGUGCCGGAGUUAACACAAUAAGUAAUCCACCUGGGGAGUACGACCGCAAGGUUGAAACUCAAAGGAAUUGACGGGGGCCCGCACAAGCAGUGGAUUAUGUGGUUUAAUUCGAAGCAACGCGAAGAACCUUACCAGGUCUUGACAUCUCCUGCAUAGCCUAGAGAUAGGUGAAAUCCCUUCAGGGACAGGAAGACAGGUGGUGCAUGGCUGUCGU